UUAAAUUGAAGAGUUUGAUCAUGGCUCAGAUUGAACGCUGGCGGCAGGCCUAACACAUGCAAGUCGAACGGUAACAGGAAACAGCUUGCUGUUUCGCUGACGAGUGGCGGACGGGUGAGUAAUGUCUGGGAAACUGCCCGAUGGAGGGGGAUAACUACUGGAAACGGUAGCUAAUACCGCAUAACGUCGCAAGACCAAAGAGGGGGACCUUCGGGCCUCUUGCCAUCGGAUGUGCCCAGAUGGGAUUAGCUAGUAGGUGGGGUAACGGCUCACCUAGGCGACGAUCCCUAGCUGGUCUGAGAGGAUGACCAGCCACACUGGAACUGAGACACGGUCCAGACUCCUACGGGAGGCAGCAGUGGGGAAUAUUGCACAAUGGGCGCAAGCCUGAUGCAGCCAUGCCGCGUGUAUGAAGAAGGCCUUCGGGUUGUAAAGUACUUUCAGCGGGGAGGAAGGGAGUAAAGUUAAUACCUUUGCUCAUUGACGUUACCCGCAGAAGAAGCACCGGCUAACUCCGUGCCAGCAGCCGCGGUAAUACGGAGGGUGCAAGCGUUAAUCGGAAUUACUGGGCGUAAAGCGCACGCAGGCGGUUUGUUAAGUCAGAUGUGAAAUCCCCGGGCUCAACCUGGGAACUGCAUCUGAUACUGGCAAGCUUGAGUCUCGUAGAGGGGGGUAGAAUUCCAGGUGUAGCGGUGAAAUGCGUAGAGAUCUGGAGGAAUACCGGUGGCGAAGGCGGCCCCCUGGACGAAGACUGACGCUCAGGUGCGAAAGCGUGGGGAGCAAACAGGAUUAGAUACCCUGGUAGUCCACGCCGUAAACGAUGUCGACUUGGAGGUUGUGCCCUUGAGGCGUGGCUUCCGGAGCUAACGCGUUAAGUCGACCGCCUGGGGAGUACGGCCGCAAGGUUAAAACUCAAAUGAAUUGACGGGGGCCCGCACAAGCGGUGGAGCAUGUGGUUUAAUUCGAUGCAACGCGAAGAACCUUACCUGGUCUUGACAUCCACGGAAGUUUUCAGAGAUGAGAAUGUGCCUUCGGGAACCGUGAGACAGGUGCUGCAUGGCUGUCGUCAGCUCGUGUUGUGAAAUGUUGGGUUAAGUCCCGCAACGAGCGCAACCCUUAUCCUUUGUUGCCAGCGGUCCGGCCGGGAACUCAAAGGAGACUGCCAGUGAUAAACUGGAGGAAGGUGGGGAUGACGUCAAGUCAUCAUGGCCCUUACGACCAGGGCUACACACGUGCUACAAUGGCGCAUACAAAGAGAAGCGACCUCGCGAGAGCAAGCGGACCUCAUAAAGUGCGUCGUAGUCCGGAUUGGAGUCUGCAACUCGACUCCAUGAAGUCGGAAUCGCUAGUAAUCGUGGAUCAGAAUGCCACGGUGAAUACGUUCCCGGGCCUUGUACACACCGCCCGUCACACCAUGGGAGUGGGUUGCAAAAGAAGUAGGUAGCUUAACCUUCGGGAGGGCGCUUACCACUUUGUGAUUCAUGACUGGGGUGAAGUCGUAACAAGGUAACCGUAGGGGAACCUGCGGUUGGAUCACCUCCUUACCUUAAAGAAGC
Molecule: ribosomal RNA, 1556 nt
Filed under: Escherichia coli
Lineage: Bacteria; Pseudomonadati; Pseudomonadota; Gammaproteobacteria; Enterobacterales; Enterobacteriaceae
Also listed under: 2 other names
Description: bacterial SSU rRNA
Rfam family: Bacterial small subunit ribosomal RNA
Source: RNAcentral